Molecule: long non-coding RNA, 592 nt
Filed under: Citrus x clementina
Lineage: Eukaryota; Viridiplantae; Streptophyta; Magnoliopsida; Sapindales; Rutaceae
Description: Citrus clementina (C. clementina) long non-coding RNA (CCLE_LNC004824)
Source: RNAcentral
CUGGACGAACUUGGCACCCCGACCUUCGUGUGGUUAUUUUUGGGCGUGGCUUUGUCCGCGGCCUAUUUUUGGCACACGGAGGCCCCUCGCAAAGUCUCGCGGCAUUCCGAGUCCGGCGGACGAAGUUCGCCAGCCCCACCCCCCAAGGCUAUAGCCCACCGGUUUUUGUGGCCUUUUUCCGCUGGACGAACUUGGUGCCCCGACCUUCGUGCCGUUAUUUUUGGGCGCGGCUUUGUCCGUGGCCUAUUUUUGGCACACGGAGGCCCCUCGCAAAGUCUCGCGGCAUUCCGAGCCCGGCGGACGAAGUGGGCCAGCCCCACCCCCCAAGGCUAUAGCCCACCCGUUUUGGUGGCCUUUUUCCGCUGGACGAACUUGGUGCCCCAACCUUCGUGCGGUUAUUUUUGGGUGCGGCUUUGUCCGCGGCAUAUUUUUGGCACACGGAGGCCCCCUGCAAAGUCUCGCGGCAUUCCGAGUCCGGCGGAUGAAGUUGGCCAGCCCCACCCCCCAAGGCUAUAGCCCACCCGUUUUUGUGGCCUUUUUCCGAUGGACGAACUUGGCGCCCCGGCCUUCGGGCGCUUAUUUUUGGGCGCGG